AACUGAGACCGGCUUUUUGGGAUUCGCUCCACCUUACGGUAUCGCAGCCCUCUGUACCGGCCAUUGUAGCAUGCGUGAAGCCCAAGACAUAAGGGGCAUGAUGAUUUGACGUCAUCCCCACCUUCCUCCGAGUUGACCCCGGCAGUCUCCCAUGAGUCCCCGGCAUAACCCGCUGGCAACAUAGGACGAGGGUUGCGCUCGUUGCGGGACUUAACCCAACAUCUCACGACACGAGCUGACGACAACCAUGCACCACCUGUGUACGAGUGUCCAAAGAGAACCCCGUCUCGGGGGCUUUCUCGUACAUGUCAAGCCUUGGUAAGGUUCUUCGCGUUGCAUCGAAUUAAUCCGCAUGCUCCGCCGCUUGUGCGGGCCCCCGUCAAUUCCUUUGAGUUUUAGCCUUGCGGCCGUACUCCCCAGGCGGGGCACUUAAUGCGUUAGCUGCGGCACGGAACUCGUGGAAUGAGCCCACACCUAGUGCCCAACGUUUACGGCAUGGACUACCAGGGUAUCUAAUCCUGUUCGCUCCCCAUGCUUUCGCUCCUCAGCGUCAGUUGCGGCCCAGAGACCUGCCUUCGCCAUCGGUGUUCCUCCUGAUAUCUGCGCAUUCCACCGCUACACCAGGAAUUCCAGUCUCCCCUACCGCACUCUAGUCUGCCCGUACCCGAUGCAAGCCCGAGGUUGAGCCUCGGGAUUUCACACCAGACGCGACAGACCGCCUACGAGCUCUUUACGCCCAAUAAUUCCGGACAACGCUUGCGCCCUACGUAUUACCGCGGCUGCUGGCACGUAGUUAGCCGGCGCUUCUUCUGCAGGUACCGUCACUUGCGCUUCUUCCCUGCUGAAAGAGGUUUACAACCCGAAGGCCGUCAUCCCUCACGCGGCGUCGCUGCAUCAGGCUUGCGCCCAUUGUGCAAUAUUCCCCACUGCUGCCUCCCGUAGGAGUCUGGGCCGUGUCUCAGUCCCAGUGUGGCCGGUCGCCCUCUCAGGCCGGCUACCCGUCGACGCCUUGGUAGGCCAUCACCCCACCAACAAGCUGAUAGGCCGCGAGCCCAUCCCCCACCGAAAAACUUUCCAACCCACACCAUGCGAUGCGAGCUCAUAUCCGGUAUUAGACCCCGUUUCCAAGGCUUAUCCCGAAGUGGAGGGCAGGUUGCUCACGUGUUACUCACCCGUUCGCCACUGAUCCACCCAGCAAGCUGGGCUUCAC
This 1210-nucleotide ribosomal RNA is filed under the name uncultured bacterium. RNAcentral's name for it is "partial 16S ribosomal RNA". The record is from RNAcentral.